GUAAAAUCAUUUUUGGAGGAGACGUUGCCAAUUUUAUACUGAAGCCAAUAACAAAAUAGGAUAUACAGGACAAAUAUUACUUCACAGCUUUGCUGGCAAGAAAGGAAGAAAUACACUUAAAGGCCAAGACUGAAGGUAAAGCAAAAUCUAGAAAGCAAUGAAUGAGAGUUCCUGUUCGUCUACAUUUUUGCCAGCAUUUGAUGUUGUCACUUGUCAGUGUGUCAUCAG
Molecule: non-coding RNA, 228 nt
Organism: Microcebus murinus (gray mouse lemur)
Lineage: Eukaryota; Metazoa; Chordata; Mammalia; Primates; Cheirogaleidae
Source: RefSeq, a predicted model, not a curated record